AGUAUUACCUGGCGUAGGGGUUACCGUGAUCACGAAGGCGGUUCCUCCAGGAUGAGGCCUUUCCAUUGCACUACGGUCGUGCUGACUCCUGCGAAUGCCCCAAAUGUGGGUUUCUCGGGCGUGUAGCCUAAUUUUUUCAAAUCAAGGAAAAAAUAAUUUUUUUUUAU
This is a small nuclear RNA of Homalodisca vitripennis (glassy-winged sharpshooter), 167 nucleotides long. RefSeq annotates it as U1 spliceosomal RNA. The record is from RefSeq and is a predicted model, not a curated record. NCBI's taxonomy places the organism in Eukaryota, Metazoa, Arthropoda, Insecta, Hemiptera, Cicadellidae. The transcript has a single exon.